AACCCAUGGUGAGGGCACCUUCUCAAUAAAUCCUUAUACCUCUCCCAUGCAUCAUAUAUGGUUUCUAAGUCAACCUACUCGAAGGAAGAGAUAUCAUUCCUUAGCUU
Molecule: small nucleolar RNA, 107 nt
Filed under: Gossypium hirsutum (cotton)
Lineage: Eukaryota; Viridiplantae; Streptophyta; Magnoliopsida; Malvales; Malvaceae
Also listed under: 1 other name
Description: Plant small nucleolar RNA R71
Rfam family: Plant small nucleolar RNA R71
About the family: R71 is a member of the C/D box family of snoRNAs containing the C (UGAUGA) and D (CUGA) box motifs. Multiple nearly identical copies of this snoRNA have been identified in Arabidopsis, and it is thought to function as a 2'-O-ribose methylation guide for 18S ribosomal RNA.
Source: Rfam by way of RNAcentral